CGCACCUUGCGCUCCUUGGUAUUCCGAGGAGCAUGCCUGUUUGAGUGUCGUGAAAUCAUCAACCUGAAGGCCUUUGUGGCUUACAGGCUUGGACUUGGAGGCUUGUUGGCCCUUGCGGUCGGCUCCUCUCAAAUGCAUUAGCUUGAUUCCUUGCGGAUCGGCUCUCGGUGUGAUAAUUGUCUACGCCGUGACCGUGAAGCGUUUGGCGAGCUUCUAGUCGUCUCUUUGAGACAGCUUUUAUCGACCUCUGACCUCAAAUCAGGUAGGACUACCCGCUGAACUUAA
RNAcentral lists this unclassified non-coding RNA (285 nucleotides) under Polyporaceae sp. RNAcentral's name for it is "partial contains 5.8S ribosomal RNA, internal transcribed spacer 2, and large subunit ribosomal RNA". The record is from RNAcentral. Lineage: Eukaryota; Fungi; Basidiomycota; Agaricomycetes; Polyporales; Polyporaceae.